RNAcentral lists this ribosomal RNA (254 nucleotides) under uncultured bacterium. RNAcentral's name for it is "partial 16S ribosomal RNA". It matches the Rfam family "Bacterial small subunit ribosomal RNA", at positions 524 to 776 of the family's 1533-position model. The record is from RNAcentral.
UACGAAGGGGGCUAGCGUUGUUCGGAUUUACUGGGCGUAAAGCGCGCGCAGGCGGCCCUUUAAGUCCAUCGGUCAAAUGCCGGAGCUCAACUCCGUGCGUGCCGAGGAUACUGGAGGGCUGGAGACACGUAGAGGCAAGCGGAAUUCCGGGUGUAGCGGUGGAAUGCGUAGAGAUCCGGAAGAACACCGGAGGCGAAGGCGGCUUGCUGGGCGUGAUCUGACGCUGAGGCGCGAAAGCGUGGGGAGCGAGCAGG